This 224-nucleotide ribosomal RNA is filed under the name uncultured bacterium. RNAcentral's name for it is "partial 16S ribosomal RNA". It matches the Rfam family "Bacterial small subunit ribosomal RNA", at positions 109 to 334 of the family's 1533-position model. The record is from RNAcentral.
AGGAAUACAUCGGAAUUUGCCCAGUCGUGGGGGAUAACGUAGGGAAACUUACGCUAAUACCGCAUACGACCUAACGGUGAAAGCGGGGGAUCAGCAAUGACCUCGCGCGGAUGGAUAAGCCGAUGUCGGAUUAGCUAGUUGGCGGGGUAAAGGCCCACCAAGGCGACGAUCCGUAGCUGGUCUGAGAGGAUGAUCAGCCACACUGGGACUGAGACACGGCCCAG